This 468-nucleotide ribosomal RNA is filed under the name uncultured bacterium. RNAcentral's name for it is "partial 16S ribosomal RNA". It matches the Rfam family "Bacterial small subunit ribosomal RNA", at positions 28 to 507 of the family's 1533-position model. The record is from RNAcentral.
GACGAACGCUGGCGGCGUGCUUAACACAUGCAAGUCGAACGGAAAGGCCCUGCUUUUGUGGGGUGCUCGAGUGGCGAACGGGUGAGUAACACGUGAGUAACCUGCCCUUGACUUUGGGAUAACUUCAGGAAACUGGGGCUAAUACCGGAUAGGAGCUCCUGCUGCAUGGUGGGGGUUGGAAAGUUUCGGCGGUUGGGGAUGGACUCGCGGCUUAUCAGCUUGUUGGUGGGGUAGUGGCUUACCAAGGCUUUGACGGGUAGCCGGCCUGAGAGGGUGAACGGCCACAUUGGGACUGAGAUACGGCCCAGAAUCCUACGGGAGGCAGCAGGGGGGAAUAUUGCACAAUGGGCGGAAGCCUGAUGCAGCAACGCCGCGUGCGGGAUGACGGCCUUCGGGUUGUAAACCGCUUUCGCCUGUGACGAAGCGUGAGUGACGGUAAUGGGUAAAGAAGCACCGGCUAACUACGUG